AAAAAGAGUAGAUCUUUAAAGAGAAAACCCAGGGCUGGACUGCCAAAUAGGUGACAGAAAAGUGAUCCAAUUCUACCCCAUAGGGACUUAGGUCACACUCCUUCAUCUGGAGCCCAUAUAGAGCCUCAAAAUCCUUCUCUACCCACUCCUUUGGGCAACUUCUGCAAAACGCUCUGAAUCAGCCCCUGAGCUGAACCUUCUUUGCCAUCCCUGAAGUCUUAUUUUUCAGCCAUCGUCUUGGACACUGUGAUGAUGUUCACAAAGAUUGGGAAGCUUUUCCUGCAAAUCUUCACCCGGAUCUGGGAAAAUUCUGCUCUCUGCCUGAGGGAUGCAGAUGAGGACAGUCUUGCUCCUUUGUGUGGCUUUGGAGGGUGUACAGGAUACAGAGAGAACGUGACUUGAAGAAAUGACACUGUCUGUGAGUCCAGUUUAUUUGUGGACUCCUGAGGCUUGAGUAUAACCAGAGUAAAAUAAACGUAUAUAUGGAAACUGUAUCUGUGAAUUGCAU
This 508-nucleotide long non-coding RNA is filed under the name Equus asinus (donkey). RNAcentral's name for it is "lncRNA (ENSEASG00005028417.1)". Lineage: Eukaryota; Metazoa; Chordata; Mammalia; Perissodactyla; Equidae. The record is from RNAcentral.